AUGCAGGAAUCCCUAAUCAGAUGGCUGCAAGACUCCCCUCCAGCAGGCUGGAUUGAGGCUGUGUUCCCUUGGGCAUGGGCUAAACCCUGUUGGGCUCCUUCAGUUGGGGCAGGGUUGGUAUUGGAGUCUGUGUUUGGCCAGGGCUGCAGGUAUGGGUCUGAUUUCAGCAUGGUGAAGGUGGGGAGAGGUGGAUGUACUGGGGGAGGUGGAUGCAGGGAUUCUGGGGGUGUUCAGCUUUUGUCCUGGCUUUUUUAUUUCUUGCAGCCUCUUAAAGGGCUUUCUAAAUCUCCUCCCUCUCAAACCAUCCAUUUCUUUCAUCGGCUUUGAUAUUGUAAACACAAUUUUAUGGGUUUUCUUUUUAAGGAGGUUGGAUUUUAUCUUUCGUGUCUCCUUCAUUGAGUCCUUUUCAGAGGCCUCCUUUUCUGUUUCUGAAAACCUUUUCUCUGCUUCCCCCCCAGCCUGCUGCCCCAGCAGGUAGGGUUUGAUGUUUGCCCUCAGGCAUUGUUAUCCUCGACCUUCUUGUGUUGACAACACAAGUCCAGACACCUGAAAGCUGUUGUGUAUUGAUCCUGCCGGGUCCUCCUCAGUACUGGGCGCUGCCGAAGGAGGCCUCACAGAACUGGAGCUUGGGCAGUUGGCCCAGACUCUGCCUAAUAGGGCUUUGCUUUUUCUUUUUGGUAAAACAUACAGAUUUCCUAAGUUUCUCUUCUCUUAACUUGGCAUUUAAAAUCCAGGAGAGUCUGACGUUGAAUGAGUUUUCUAGCACUGCCUCCCACAAACCCUCCUUAAGGUCCAUGUGCCUUGGGAUCUUCAUGCUCCUUCAUAUUUUAUUUCUUCUUAUUAAAAAAUUGAUCUAUUUAUAUAUUGCUUGGUUGAUUGGUUGAGGUAUAUCCCAAUUCUUUUGCUUACCUUUUCCAUAUUCCUCAUGUCGAAAUCCUGUUCAUUCCACAAAUGUCACCUCUCCCAGGGAGUCCUCCCUGCUUUUCCUAAUUAGCACUAGUCAUUCCUUCUGGGAUCCAGGGCUCUUCGCUUCUCUCUCUAUGGGACUAAUUACUGCCCUGGGUCUGUGCUUCUGCUCAUCUCUCCCACCAGGUUUUGAGUGCCAUCUCCUUGUUGACAAGGGCUGUAUCGUGUUUAUCUGUCUCCAGCAUGACAAGCCCUGGCGCAC
Molecule: long non-coding RNA, 1168 nt
Filed under: Pan troglodytes (chimpanzee)
Lineage: Eukaryota; Metazoa; Chordata; Mammalia; Primates; Hominidae
Description: lncRNA (ENSPTRG00000053457.1)
Source: RNAcentral